This 1200-nucleotide long non-coding RNA is filed under the name Anser cygnoides (Swan goose). RNAcentral describes it as "lncRNA (ENSACDG00005003961.1)". The record is from RNAcentral. Lineage: Eukaryota; Metazoa; Chordata; Aves; Anseriformes; Anatidae.
AUGAUCCUUGUGGGUCCCUUCCAACUCAGGAUAUUUUGUGGUUCUCUGAUCUCUCCCCUGUUGUGUUCAUGUUUCUACACUGCAGUCUUCACCGUAGAAUCUGAGCAGCUUCUGAGAGCUUCCCAUGUGAUGAACAUCUGGCACAUACCAUCUGUUUGUUCACCAUUCUCCUGGGAAGAGAGACCAUGUAAAAGAAUCAAGCAUUGUCUAAGAGCACUGAGCAGACCAACAGCAAAAUUUCACAGCCAGAGAACCAAGACAAUCAGGAUAAAAUACUGUGACUUUUUUAAACAUCUACGUUACGUUCCCAUGAACUCCACAAGACACUUCCCAGGAUACUGGUCACUGGCAGAGCUAUAAUGAAAAAGGUGAGUACAGCUUAUAGUUUGGACAUCCUUUGAACUCAAGAAUUAUAUGACAAGGGUAUGAGGAAAGAAACAAAUGACAUGGAACUUCGACAGAACAUGAGGUCAUUGUAGGAAAGAGCAUAGUCUGCCCGAAUGUCCUCUGUAAAUGCUUGCAGAUACCCAGCCCAUUGGCAAAAUGGGUGGUGUUGACUGUGGUAGCUAAUCAGCUGAUUCAUAGACAAUCAAGUGAUCAAAAAUGGGCCUAACUCAGCCAGCCAGAUGGACUCAGUGGUGGAAAUUGCAUCAGUGGAAAAAUCUAUAUACUGCCUACAAGACAAAUUAUGAAAAAGUGGAGGAUAUGGAGGAUAUUUUGACCAUAUCAAUCUAACAGAGGUAGAUACCACCAAAUAUUAGAUAUUUUGUCUUACUCACAGUCUUUACUUGGGCAUGGGCUGCAUAGCAUUCACAUGGUUAUCAUGUAGCCUGCUCACAGCAGGCCAACAUACACCAAAUUAUAUCUGAGAGAUCUAAUCAAAGAUCCAUGUAUUCCAGUGGUAUUGAGAUCAGGAAUUUAGUAUUUUGCAUGAAGAAAACAUGAAAUUAAUCAAUUCCAGAAAAACUCCCCUCAAAAAAGCACAAGAUCUCAUCAAAAUUAUGUGCAUAUCAUUGAAAUGGAAAUGCUGGUCUUCUACUGAGUUCCACUCUUACAAAGCUACUGGCCUCAAAACCAGUACUUUAUCCCAGAAAAGUUUUCAUUUUUGAAACAAGCUUUAUGCAGCAGAUUAUGGCAGAUAAGAGGAUACAGCUAUCCAGAGCUGCACAGCUUGCCCACUCAAAAAAUUUUUCAUUUUCC